Molecule: ribosomal RNA, 253 nt
Filed under: uncultured bacterium
Lineage: Bacteria
Description: partial 16S ribosomal RNA
Rfam family: Bacterial small subunit ribosomal RNA
Source: RNAcentral
UACGUAGGGGCCUAGCGUUGUCCGGAUUUAUUGGGCGUAAAGAGCGUGUAGGCGGCCAGGUAGGUCGGUUGUGAAAACUAGAGGCUCAACCUCUAGACGUCGACCGAAACCACUUGGCUAGAGUCCGGAAGAGGAGAGUGGAAUUCCCGGUGUAGCGGUGAAAUGCGCAGAUAUCGGGAAGAACACCCGUGGCGAAGGCGGCUCUCUGGGACGGUACUGACGCUGAGACGCGAAAGCGUGGGGAGCGAACAGG